CCUACGGGAGGCAGCAGUGAGGAAUAUUGGUCAAUGGGGGAAACCCUGAAGCAGCAACGCCGCGUGGAGGAUGAAGGUUUUCGGAUUGUAAACUCCUUUUGUUAGAGAAGAUAAUGACGGUAUCUAACGAAUAAGCACUGGCUAACUCCGUGCCAGCAGCCGUGGUAAUACGGAGGGUGCGAGCGUUACUCGGAAUCACUGGGCGUAAAGGGCGCGUAGGCGGGAUAGCAAGUCAGAUGUGAAAUCCUAUGGCUUAACCAUAGAACUGCAUUUGAAACUGGUAUUCUAGAGUAUGGGAGAGGUAGGUGGAAUUCUUGGUGUAGGGGUAAAAUCCGUAGAGAUCAAGAGGAAUACUCAUUGCGAAGGCGACCUGCUAGAACAUAACUGACGCUGAUGCGCGAAAGCGUGGGGAACAAACAGGAUUAGAUACCCGGGUAGUC
Molecule: ribosomal RNA, 440 nt
Filed under: uncultured bacterium
Lineage: Bacteria
Description: partial 16S ribosomal RNA
Rfam family: Bacterial small subunit ribosomal RNA
Source: RNAcentral